Molecule: ribosomal RNA, 612 nt
Filed under: uncultured Enterococcus sp.
Lineage: Bacteria; Bacillati; Bacillota; Bacilli; Lactobacillales; Enterococcaceae
Description: bacterial SSU rRNA
Rfam family: Bacterial small subunit ribosomal RNA
Source: RNAcentral
UAGGGAAUCUUCGGCAAUGGACGAAAGUCUGACCGAGCAACGCCGCGUGAGUGAAGAAGGUUUUCGGAUCGUAAAACUCUGUUGUUAGAGAAGAACAAGGGUGAGAGUAGAAAGUUCACCCCUUGACGGUAUCUAACCAGAAAGCCACGGCUAACUACGUGCCAGCAGCCGCGGUAAUACGUAGGUGGCAAGCGUUGUCCGGAUUUAUUGGGCGUAAAGCGAGCGCAGGCGGUUUCUUAAGUCUGAUGUGAAAGCCCCCGGCUCAACCGGGGAGGGUCAUUGGAAACUGGGAAACUUGAGUGCAGAAGAGGAGAGUGGAAUUCCAUGUGUAGCGGUGAAAUGCGUAGAUAUAUGGAGGAACACCAGUGGCGAAGGCGGCUCUCUGGUCUGUAACUGACGCUGAGGCUCGAAAGCGUGGGGAGCAAACAGGAUUAGAUACCCUGGUAGUCCACGCCGUAAACGAUGAGUGCUAAGUGUUGGAGGGUUUCCGCCCUUCAGUGCUGCAGCUAACGCAUUAAGCACUCCGCCUGGGGAGUACGACCGCAAGGUUGAAACUCAAAGGAAUUGACGGGGGCCCGCACAAGCGGUGGAGCAUGUGGUUUAAUUCGAAGC